Molecule: unclassified non-coding RNA, 218 nt
Filed under: uncultured Tomentella
Lineage: Eukaryota; Fungi; Basidiomycota; Agaricomycetes; Thelephorales; Thelephoraceae
Description: partial internal transcribed spacer 2
Source: RNAcentral
ACACCUCAACUCUCACGGUUUGCCGUGAUGAGCUUGGACUUUGGAGGUCUUGCCGGCCUGUGGUUGGCUCCUCUCAAAUGAAUCAGCUUGCCAGUGUUUGGUGGCAUCCCAGGUGUGAUAACUAUCUACGCUUGUGGCUUUCCACCAGGUAACCUUCAGCGAUGGAGGUUCGCUGGGGCUCACAAAUGUCUCUCCUAAGUGAGGACGGCUUCUUGAAU